CACGUAGGGUGCGAGCGUUGUCCGGAAUUAUUGGGCGUAAAGAGCUCGUAGGCGGUGUGUCGCGUCGGCCGUGAAAACCUGCAGCUUAACUGUGGGCUUGCGGUCGAUACGGGCAUCACUGGAGUUCGGCAGGGGAGACUGGAAUUCCUGGUGUAGCGGUGAAAUGCGCAGAUAUCAGGAAGAACACCCGUGGCUAAGGCGGCUCUCUAGUACGGUACUGACGCUGAGACGCGAAAGCGUGGGGAGCGAACAGG
Molecule: ribosomal RNA, 254 nt
Filed under: uncultured bacterium
Lineage: Bacteria
Description: partial 16S ribosomal RNA
Rfam family: Bacterial small subunit ribosomal RNA
Source: RNAcentral